GUGAGGAAUAUUGCGCAAUGGAGGCAACUCUGACGCAGCCAUGCCGCGUGCAGGAAGAAGGCGCUACGCGUUGUAAACUGCUUUUAACCGGGAAGAAACCCCAGGACGUGUCCUGGGUUGACGGUACCGGAGGAAUAAGCACCGGCUAACUUCGUGCCAGCAGCCGCGGUAAUACGAAGGGUGCAAGCGUUAUCCGGAUUCAUUGGGUUUAAAGGGUGCGUAGGCGGAGUGUUAAGUCAGUGGUGAAAUCCUGCAGCUUAACUGUAGACUUGCCAUUGAUACUGGCGCUCUUGAGUGCGCUUGAAGUGGGCGGAAUGUGCCGUGUAGCGGUGAAAUGCUUAGAUAUGGCACAGAACACCAAUUGCGAAGGCAGCUCACUAAGGCGAUACUGACGCUGAGGCACGAAAGCGUGGGGAUCGAACAGGAUUAGAUACCCUAGUAGUCC
RNAcentral lists this ribosomal RNA (445 nucleotides) under uncultured bacterium. RNAcentral describes it as "partial 16S ribosomal RNA". It matches the Rfam family "Bacterial small subunit ribosomal RNA", at positions 354 to 796 of the family's 1533-position model. The record is from RNAcentral.